CACAGCCAUGCUCAGGUGUUCAGGUGUUUGGGAGCACAGCACAGCCAUGCUCAGGUGUUUGGGAGCAGAGCACAGCCAUGCUCAGGUGUUUGGGAGCAGAGCACAGCCAUGCUCAGGUGUUUGGGAGCAGAGCACAGCCAUGCUCAGGUGUUCAGGUGUUUGGGAGCAGAGCACAGCCAUGUUCAGGUGUUUGGGAGCAGAGCACAGCCAUGCUCAGGUGUUUGGGAGCAGAGCACAGCCAUGCUCAGGUGUUCAGGUGUUUGGGAGCAGAGCACAGCCAUGUUCAGGUGUUCAGGUGUUUG
This is a long non-coding RNA of Catharus ustulatus (Swainson's thrush), 302 nucleotides long. RefSeq lists it as uncharacterized. The record is from RefSeq and is a predicted model, not a curated record. NCBI's taxonomy places the organism in Eukaryota, Metazoa, Chordata, Aves, Passeriformes, Turdidae. The transcript has 4 exons.